This 3994-nucleotide long non-coding RNA is filed under the name Marmota monax (woodchuck). The stretch from base 695 to 763 matches the Rfam family "tRNA". Lineage: Eukaryota; Metazoa; Chordata; Mammalia; Rodentia; Sciuridae. The record is from RNAcentral.
AAUAUCAUACAUUAAAAUCCCACCUGAUCUCAACAUGGGCAGUUGUAUGGAAGAAAAGGAGGAGAAAUGAAAGCAUUCUGUUGGGGACCUCAUGCAGACCUUUUUGUGACAAAAUGUGGAGGUAUGAUUAAUUCUACAUCUUGAUAGAAAAAUUUAGUAUUUAAUUUGCUUAGUGCAAACUCAUGAGAGGACUCAGAAUUUUUUUAAAAUAGCAUGAAAAACUUUUAAAUAAUUGUAGUCCAAAGAAGGGGAAGGAGGAGGAAAUGAAGAAGGAGUAGGAAGAGAGGGAAGAAGAGGAGGAACAAAUAAGAGAACAUCAUAAAUAAAUAGCAAAUCUGGGUAGCAAAAACAAGUGUUAAUACAGAACAUUAAAUGUGAAUUGAUUAAAUAAAUGAAAUUUACCUUUUAAAAAACCAUUUAUUUUGAUUUAAAAAUUCAAUCAGAUGCUGUUUAUAAAGGACACAACUAAAAUAAAAAUUGCAGUGUGAUUGAAAAUAGAUUAAAAAUUUAAAAUCUGACAGAACUUUCCCAUGUACAUAUAUGAAUAUGUACCAAUAAAACUUCGUAUCAUGUACAACCACAGGAACGGGAACCUCAUUAGAAUAAGUUAUACUUCAUGUAUACAUAAUAUGUCAAAAUAUACUCUACUGUCAUAUAUAUCUAAAAAUAAUAAAUAAAAACUUAUGCUUGGGCUGGGAUUGUGGCUCAGUGGUAGAGCGCUCGCCUAGCACGUGUGAGGCCCUGAGUUUGAUCCUCAACACCACAUAAAAAUAAAUAAAUAAAAUAAAGAUAUUGGUCCAACUAAAAAUAAAUAUUGAAAAAAACAUAUGCUAAUGCUUACAGAAAAAUAAAACAAAUGUAGAAGUUGUAAUAUCAGAAAAACUGAAUUCAAGAGAAAAGCUUGGCAAGGUUCAGAGGAAGAUAUUUGACACUGAUUACCCACCAACAUAAUAGAAGCACAUGAAGCUCUCUGUACCUAAGAGCAUAGCUCAGAAAUAGAAUGAAAUGUGACAUUCACAUGGGGAGAAAUUGUCAGAGGUUUGAAACCAUUUCUCUCAAAGUAUCAACAUACUGGGUGUGGAAUUUCCUUUAAGUAGGCCAAAAAGAAACAAAAAAUAAUAAUCUCAAUGAAUGGCAAAGAAUUGAAAUUAUGUACUCUACAUUGGCUGACCACAAUGAAAUAAAACAUUUUUUAAAAAUUUAAAAUGUAACUCAUUGGUAGAGCAUUGGUGGACCCACAAGACCCAGUUCAAUCCCCAGCAACACACACACACACAUUUAAUAAAUUGCUAAUACAGCUGGUCUCAGUGUGCAUGCCUGUAAUCCCAGCAGUUUGGGAGGCUGAGACAGGAGGAUUACCAGUUUAAAGCCAGCCUCAGCAACAGCAAGGCUGUUGCAAUUUUGUGAGACCCUGUCUCUAAAUAAAAUACAAAAUAGGGCUGGGGUUGUGGCUGAGUUCAAAUCCCCCUCCCCCAAAAAAUUGCUAAUACAAAGGCAUUCUUUGUUUGGAAACCUAAAAUAUUUUUAAAAAUAAUUUGUGAAAUUCUAAAUUCUAGAGUAAUGACAGAGUAGUGUUCUAAUUCUAACCUUUCUACCAAUAACAACGGUAAGCUCAAUACAACUGUUUAGAGUCACUAAAGAGUCACGAAAAACUGGCAGAAGCUAGAAGGAAAUUGGUCAUUGAAAGAGGAGAAGUGGUGAGUUCCAUACUGACCCAGCUUUGUUCCUGAGGGCAAGUGCCAGUUUACACUGGGGGAGAGAGUUUAAACAGCAAAUGACAAUCUUACUGGGCUGGGAAGACACACAUUGGGGUUUGAAGCAAUCACAGUUUAAUAAAUAUAAUAAAAUUCUAACAAUUUAGGGGAACUAUCUCAAAAAAGGAAGCAUCUUUAGAAACAAAACCAAAAUCUGCUUUAAAAUCGCCCUUCAAUCCUUGACUGAUUCUCUAAUCUGGGCAAGUCUCCCAGAGACUCAUUGAGAAGAAAUAGCUGGAAGGCUAAAAAAAAUGUUGAGCAGCGAAUCCAGCAAUUGUCCUGAAAUUGAGAGACAGCUUGGAGUUCCAAUUCUACCAAAUUAGGGAUUUGGAAUGCCAGUUAAUUUUAUUAAUUUUAUGUCAAUAUGGCUGUUCCACAGUGCCUGGUGUGCAUUAUUUUGGAUGUUUCCAUGAGAGUGUUUGUGGAUGAGAUUUUUAUUUAAAUUAGUGGACUUUGAAAGUAAAGCACAUUGCCCUCCAUAAUGUCACUGGGCUUGGUCUAAUCAGUUGAAGAUCCAGAUAGAACAAGACUGAUCUCCCCUGAUGAAGAAGAAAUUAUGCAGUAGAUGACCUUCAGACCUGAACUGCAAUAUGAACUCUUUCUGGAUCUUUAGCCUGCCACCCACCAUGCAGAGUUAGUACUUCAAGCCUCUGUAAUUGUGUAAGCUGAUUCCUUAAAAUAAAUCUUUUUAUAUAAAUAAGUCCUGUUUGUUCUGUUAUUUUAAAGAACACAAACACUCUUGGCAAGCAUAAGUGUACUUGUAUUGGAACUAAGACUAGGGGUUAUGCCCUAGGACUAGAGAUAAAACUUAUAUAGACCAACACAGUCUAAAACCAGGAUUCUAUGGAAUCCAAGUAAUUGACAAUAAUUUAACUUGCCAGACUAAAGAUUCGUGCCCAGGUCUUAAUUUAUAAAGAUGUAUGAGUGACAACAUAGAGAAAUUAUUACUUUCAUUUCCCAAAAGAAAGGGACACAUCAUGUUACCCAGGCCACAGGGUGGAAGUACCGUGUUUAGUCAAGAGGCAGAAGGAAUGUGUCUUCCGUGAAGGGCAGGGCUGUUUUAGAACUUGCUCAUCAGAAUAACAUUGACUUGGUGUGUAAGUCAGAUAAAAGGAGGUGCUUGGGGCAUGGACUUGGGAUUGCUUAGAAGGCUUGUGAUAUGAUUUUCCUGGCACCUAUGACAGCUGANUGGGAGGCUGAGACAGGAGGAUUACCAGUUUAAAGCCAGCCUCAGCAACAGCAAGGCUGUUGCAAUUUUGUGAGACCCUGUCUCUAAAUAAAAUACAAAAUUUUAUUUUAUUUGGGGUUGUGGCUGAGUUCAAAUCCCCCUCCCCCCAAAAAUUGCUAAUACAAAGGCAUUCUUUGUUUGGAAACCUAAAAUAUUUUUUAAAAUAAUUUGUGAAAUUCUAAAUUCUAGAGUAAUGACAGAGUAGUGUUCUAAUUCUAACCUUUCUACCAAUAACAACGAUAAGCUCAAUACAACUGUUUAGAGUCAUUAAAGAGUCACGAAAAACUGGCAGAAGCUAGAGGGAAAUUGGUCAUUGAAAGAGGAGAAGUGGUGAGUUCCAUACUGACCCAGCUUUGUUCCUGAGGGCAAGUGCCAGUUUACACUGGGGGAGAGAGUUUAAACAGCAAAUGACAAUCUUACUGGGCUGGGAAGACACACAUUGGGGUUUGAAGCAAUCACAGUUUAAUAAAUAUAAUAAAAUUCUAACAAUUUAGGGGAACUAUCUCAAAAAAGGAAGCAUCUUUAGAAACAAAACCAAAAUCUGCUUUAAAAUCGCCCUUCAAUCCUUGACUGAUUCUCUAAUCUGGGCAAGUCUCCCAGAGACUCAUUGAGAAGAAAUAGCUGGAAGGCUAAAAAAAAUGUUGAGCAGCGAAUCCAGCAAUUGUCCUGAAAUUGAGAGACAGCUUGGAGUUCCAAUUCUACCAAAUUAGGGAUUUGGAAUGCCAGUUAAUUUUAUUAAUUUUAUGUCAAUAUGGCUGUGCCACAGUGCCUGGUGUGCAUUAUUUUGGAUGUUUCCAUGAGAGUGUUUGUGGAUGAGAUUUUUAUUUAAAUUAGUGGACUUUGAAAGUAAAGCACAUUGCCCUCCAUAAUGUCACUGGGCUUGGUCUAAUCAGUUGAAGAUCCAGAUAGAACAAGACUGAUCUCCCCUGAUGAAGAAGAAAUUAUGCAGUAGAUGACCUUCAGACCUGAACUGCAAUAUGAACUCUUUCUGGAUCUUUAGCCUGCCACCCAC